RNAcentral lists this ribosomal RNA (1480 nucleotides) under Lactiplantibacillus argentoratensis. RNAcentral's name for it is "bacterial SSU rRNA". It matches the Rfam family "Bacterial small subunit ribosomal RNA". Lineage: Bacteria; Bacillati; Bacillota; Bacilli; Lactobacillales; Lactobacillaceae. The record is from RNAcentral.
ACCCUACGGGCUACCAUCUAGACAUGAUAGUCGAUCGAACUCUCGGUAUUGAUGUGGUCGCUUGCAGUCAUGAUUUACAUUUGAGUGAGUGGCGAACUGGUGAGUAACACGUGGGAAACCUGCCCAGAAGCGGGGGAUAACACCUGGAAACAGAUGCUAAUACCGCAUAACAACUUGGACCGCAUGGUCCGAGUUUGAAAGAUGGCUUCGGCUAUCACUUUUGGAUGGUCCCGCGGCGUAUUAGCUAGAUGGUGGGGUAACGGCUCACCAUGGCAAUGAUACGUAGCCGACCUGAGAGGGUAAUCGGCCACAUUGGGACUGAGACACGGCCCAAACUCCUACGGGAGGCAGCAGUAGGGAAUCUUCCACAAUGGACGAAAGUCUGAUGGAGCAACGCCGCGUGAGUGAAGAAGGGUUUCGGCUCGUAAAACUCUGUUGUUAAAGAAGAACAUAUCUGAGAGUAACUGUUCAGGUAUUGACGGUAUUUAACCAGAAAGCCACGGCUAACUACGUGCCAGCAGCCGCGGUAAUACGUAGGUGGCAAGCGUUGUCCGGAUUUAUUGGGCGUAAAGCGAGCGCAGGCGGUUUUUUAAGUCUGAUGUGAAAGCCUUCGGCUCAACCGAAGAAGUGCAUCGGAAACUGGGAAACUUGAGUGCAGAAGAGGACAGUGGAACUCCAUGUGUAGCGGUGAAAUGCGUAGAUAUAUGGAAGAACACCAGUGGCGAAGGCGGCUGUCUGGUCUGUAACUGACGCUGAGGCUCGAAAGUAUGGGUAGCAAACAGGAUUAGAUACCCUGGUAGUCCAUACCGUAAACGAUGAAUGCUAAGUGUUGGAGGGUUUCCGCCCUUCAGUGCUGCAGCUAACGCAUUAAGCAUUCCGCCUGGGGAGUACGGCCGCAAGGCUGAAACUCAAAGGAAUUGACGGGGGCCCGCACAAGCGGUGGAGCAUGUGGUUUAAUUCGAAGCUACGCGAAGAACCUUACCAGGUCUUGACAUACUAUGCAAAUCUAAGAGAUUAGACGUUCCCUUCGGGGACAUGGAUACAGGUGGUGCAUGGUUGUCGUCAGCUCGUGUCGUGAGAUGUUGGGUUAAGUCCCGCAACGAGCGCAACCCUUAUUAUCAGUUGCCAGCAUUAAGUUGGGCACUCUGGUGAGACUGCCGGUGACAAACCGGAGGAAGGUGGGGAUGACGUCAAAUCAUCAUGCCCCUUAUGACCUGGGCUACACACGUGCUACAAUGGAUGGUACAACGAGUUGCGAACUCGCGAGAGUAAGCUAAUCUCUUAAAGCCAUUCUCAGUUCGGAUUGUAGGCUGCAACUCGCCUACAUGAAGUCGGAAUCGCUAGUAAUCGCGGAUCAGCAUGCCGCGGUGAAUACGUUCCCGGGCCUUGUACACACCGCCCGUCACACCAUGAGAGUUUGUAACACCCAAAGUCGGUGGGGUAACCUAUAGGUACCAACCUACCUCAUAGAGAUCAUGCG